UACGUAGGGGGCUAGCGUUGUCCGGAUUUAUUGGGCGUAAAGAGCGUGUAGGCGGCCAGGUAGGUCUGCUGUGAAAACUCGAGGCUCAACCUCGAGACGUCGGCGGAAACCAUCUGGCUAGAGUCCGGAAGAGGAGAGUGGAAUUCCUGGUGUAGCGGUGAAAUACGCAGAUAUCAGGAAGAACACCCGUGGCGAAGGCGGCUCUCUGGGACGGUACUGACGCUGAGACGCGAAAGCGUGGGGAGCGAACAGG
RNAcentral lists this ribosomal RNA (253 nucleotides) under uncultured bacterium. RNAcentral describes it as "partial 16S ribosomal RNA". It matches the Rfam family "Bacterial small subunit ribosomal RNA", at positions 524 to 776 of the family's 1533-position model. The record is from RNAcentral.